CUGGCUGUCAAAGAGGCCGGCGGCUGGACCAGCCUUCGCUUGUGAGAACGUCCACCAACUCCGUCAGCCAAGAGAAACAAAAACCUCAGAGGGUGCCAAGUGCAACUCGGAGAGUUCCCAGAGGCUGACCUCACUGAGUGCCCCGGGUGGCUGCCGCAGGUGGGGAGCCGGCCAGGUGAUCUGGAGCAGAGGGCAGAGCCAUCCUGCUCAGGCGACCGCUCCCCUCUGAGUGGCUUUAGCCUGAGGGAAGCACUAGCCCCACCCCCAGGAGGGACUCCGCCCAUCGCGUGUGGCUGGAGCCUGACUGCGGAGGGCGGAGCGACUAGAUGGACAACUGGAGGGUCCGCCCCAGACGGCAGGUCCCUGGACAUCUAGGACCGGCUGCCUAAGGACAUAGGGGCUCACCAUCUGACGUCACCAUCCGCGGUUCCAGAAAGAAGAAACAGUGGUAAAUACUAGAUGCUACCGAGGCGAAAUCCACCAUGGUCUUCUCCACAAUCUAUGAUGUUUUCUUUCCCGCACAGUUUAACAUUCAUUUGCUAUCCUUCAAGUUUGUGCAUAUUCAGUCCCUGGAUUUUAUAUUGUAAUUUAUUUCAAUUCUCAUAUUUUGCUCCUCCCUUCACUUACGCCAUUUUACCUCCUCCUUUCCUCCCAUUAUUUUUGUUUUAAAUUUGUUUUCUCACUUGUUACGAUUUGUUUACAUUCUUCACUCUUAAAAGUUUCCCCUGUUCAGCCUAUAAAAACCAUUUUGUUUUUGUCAA
Long non-coding RNA from Phyllostomus hastatus (greater spear-nosed bat), 761 nucleotides. RefSeq lists it as uncharacterized. The record is from RefSeq and is a predicted model, not a curated record. Lineage: Eukaryota; Metazoa; Chordata; Mammalia; Chiroptera; Phyllostomidae. The transcript is spliced from 2 exons.